Long non-coding RNA from Rosa rugosa (rugosa rose), 1509 nucleotides. RefSeq lists it as uncharacterized. NCBI's taxonomy places the organism in Eukaryota, Viridiplantae, Streptophyta, Magnoliopsida, Rosales, Rosaceae. The record is from RefSeq and is a predicted model, not a curated record. The transcript has 6 exons.
UAAAAAACUCAUUCCGCGUCCGCCUCUCUCACUCAAAACAGUCAGACUAUACUCCUCUCUCUCUCUCUCUCUCUCAGUCUCAGAUCGCGAUUCGACCUCAGCCCCGACCCCGAGUCUCGACCUCUCCCUCUCUCUGUGACCUCUGUCUUGAUCACGCUUCGACCUCAGUCCCCAGUCUCGGCGUGAACGACCUCUCUCUCUGACCUCUGUCACAAUUGCAUAACGUCGGUGGUCGUCGUCUCUCUCAAUACUUCGCCGGAAGUCGAAGCUCUCUCCGCAAAACCCCAUCGAUCUGGGCUUUUUGACAUCUGUGGAUCGGAGCACCAUGAGCUCAAGGCCAAGGAUGAGAAUACCCUCCUCGUCGGUUAGCCAGUCGCCGUCUUUGGGCUCAGAAACUGGAGGUGAUCCCAUGGUGUCGGCUGGUGUUGAUAUUGUCCGCAGAUCUGUGCAACCCCUUUCAAGGUCCGAUCUCUGUUUCAUGCUUGAUUCGAUCUUAAAUAACUCUGACAAUUAAACCCCUUCUCAUAUUGUUAUGGAUAAUUUAAACCCCAAUCAAUAACCCACAAAACCAGCUCAUCUGAUUGUUUUCUUCAACCUGAAAGAUUUCGUGUUUUGGACUUUUGAUUUUGAUAAAACAAGAAGGAAACAAAGAUUAAAUCUUUAUGUUUUAAUUGCAACUUAGAGAUCGAAUAGAGGGUAAAAGAUCUGAAAGAGUUUGUUUCUGAACUUGUUUAAUAAUAUUAUAGAUCCUCUAUUCGUGUUUGUGUGUUUGUUUUGAAUUUAUGUUUAUGAUGGAUGGUGGAUGUACGUGUAUAUAGAGAUGAGAGACAGAGUGUUGAUUGCAGUAUGUCUUCGUAUAUGCAUGAAUUUGAAUGGCUGAGCUUUUUUAGGUUGAUAUAGCUAAUACAAGGUUUAAUUCUAUCUUCAGUAUGGCUGAGCUUUGAUUGCAUCAGUAUGACUUGGUUUUUGUUAUGUCCUUGUGAUUUCAUUUCGGUGACGGCGCUGGGUUUGGGCGAUAGGGUUUAUGCCAAGAUUUCUAGGGUGGAGAUGGAUGAGCGUCCACAGAGAUUGGAUGGAAUAGGACAAUCUCAAUCUGCAGGUCUCAUUUUGUAACAUAUUGAUGUUCUACUGCAAAGACGGGAGCAAAAGGCACUUACAAGGGCUUGUGCAAAUUACAGUUUUGGACCAUUGAGUGGUUUGUUUAUCUAUGAGUGGUUUGUCUAUCUAUGAACUACUGGGAUCACAUCCUUUCUGCUUAUCCAUUGCCUGUGUUGAAAACUAUAGGGUUUGUGGAUAUGAAGCAAGCUAAUCCUUAAGGCGAUAUUCUGAUAUGGGAACUUCCCAAAUGAGAGCAAAUGUCCAAUGGCCUUGAUAAGGCUCCAACGGCCUUGUUUUUUAAUGUUAAUGAUUUGCUCUUUUAAUUUUUUUUAUUGAUAAGGCUCCAACGGCCUUGAUUCCCAGUUUUCAAAGUAAUUUGUUAAAAGAAGAUGGACAUGAUUCAGGACUCAA